This 445-nucleotide ribosomal RNA is filed under the name uncultured bacterium. RNAcentral's name for it is "partial 16S ribosomal RNA". It matches the Rfam family "Bacterial small subunit ribosomal RNA", at positions 354 to 796 of the family's 1533-position model. The record is from RNAcentral.
GUAGGGAAUAUUGGGCAAUGGAGGCAACUCUGACCCAGCCAUGCCGCGUGCAGGAUGACGGCCCUCUGGGUUGUAAACUGCUUUUAUACGGGAAGAAAAAAUACUACGUGUAGUAUACUGACGGUACCGUAAGAAUAAGGAUCGGCUAACUCCGUGCCAGCAGCCGCGGUAAUACGGAGGAUCCAAGCGUUGUCCGGACUUAUUGGGUUUAAAGUGUGCGUAGGCGGAUCUUUAAGUCAGUGGUGAAAGCCUGCAGCUUAACUGUAGAAUUGCCAUUGAAACUGAAGAGCUUGAAUGUGGUUAAAGGAGGCGGAAUGUAUCAUGUAGCGGUGAAAUGCUUAGAUAUGAUACAGAACACCGAUAGCGAAGGCAGCUUGCUGAACCAUUAUUGACGCUGAGGCACGAAAGCGUGGGGAGCGAACAGGAUUAGAUACCCGAGUAGUCC